This 993-nucleotide long non-coding RNA is filed under the name Brassica napus (rape). RNAcentral's name for it is "long non-coding RNA (BNAP_LNC000015)". Lineage: Eukaryota; Viridiplantae; Streptophyta; Magnoliopsida; Brassicales; Brassicaceae. The record is from RNAcentral.
CAGGGAGAUGAGCGGGAACAAUAUAUUUGCAGAUGGGAAGUCAGAGUCCCGAGACUACUUUGGAGGUGUGAGGAAGCCACCAGGCGGUGAGAGCAGCAUCUCUUUGGUCUAAAAAACUCUGUGGCGGUUUGGUAAUAAAAUCAAAGCUUCUCAACGUUUAAUGUUCUUUUAGAACCUACUAGUUUCUUAGAUGGCCGAAAACGCUUUGAGCUUAAUCUUUGUAUGGAUUUGUUGUCUUUGGCUUUAACCGUUUGGAGUUUGUUAACGUAUUCUCUAUAUAACCUGAUCUUUAAUAGACGCUUGUUUCUGCUUCUUUCGGUCCUUGGCCGCUGCACAGCAAGAAGCUAGAAGAGGUAACAGAGACAUGGGAGAGCCUGCUCCAAGGAACCUUCGCACCUCUGUUAAAGUUUCCAAUGUAAGUAAUCUAUCAAUCAUUCUUGGCGUUGCUUCAAAGUGGUUUAGGAAUCAUGAGAUUUUGUUUGAACAGCCUGCGGGAGGACAGAGCAACAUUCUGUUUAGUGAAGAGCCUGAAGUGAAGACGUCGAAGAAGAUACAUGACCAGAAGUUUCAGGAGCUCACGGGGAAUGGUAUUUUCAAAGGAGAUGAGUCGCCUGGAACUGGGGACAAGCAGCUAAGCUCAGCUAAGCUCAGGGAGAUGAGCGGGAACAAUAUAUUUGCAGAUGGGAAGUCAGAGUCCCGAGACUACUUUGGAGGUGUGAGGAAGCCACCAGGCGGUGAGAGCAGCAUCUCUUUGGUCUAAAAAACUCUGUGGCGGUUUGGUAAUAAAAUCAAAGCUUCUCAACGUUUAAUGUUCUUUUAGAACCUACUAGUUUCUUAGAUGGCCGAAAACGCUUUGAGCUUAAUCUUUGUAUGGAUUUGUUGUCUUUGGCUUUAACCGUUUGGAGUUUGUUAACGUAUUCUCUAUAUAACCUGAUCUUUAAUAGACGCUUGUUUCUGCUUCUUUGCUUUCCUUAAUAGGAAAAAAGGAGUAUG